This 1791-nucleotide long non-coding RNA is filed under the name Chloebia gouldiae (Gouldian finch). Its description in RNAcentral is "Erythrura gouldiae (Gouldian finch) lncRNA (ENSEGOG00005007547.1)". The record is from RNAcentral. Lineage: Eukaryota; Metazoa; Chordata; Aves; Passeriformes; Passeridae.
UUGGUCUGGGGGAAAGACACACUGAGCUCUGACUUUGCCCAGAGCGUGCUGAGCUGCGUGGGCUAUGCUGUGAAAGGGAGGUCCUGGGGAGGCCACAAAGCAGGAGGACCAUGGUUCUGGGGGACAACAUUAACUUGCUCAGGAGACUUUGAGCUCAUUUGUGUGCCUAAACCUGGCAACUGACAGCAGGAACUCUGAAAGAGCUGGAGCACUCUGCUUGAGAAUGGGAUGGUUCAGAGACAAGUGCUCAAAUGAAGCCUUAAAUCCUUGACCUACAAAAAUCUGCAAAGAAUCUCCACAUGUGAAACAGGAGCCUUGAAUGAAGGGCAUUUUUCAUGUGGAAGGAGAGAGCUCCUGGUGCUGCUGCCAGGUGCUCUUGCCCUGAUCCUGUUCCAUCCGGGAUGGCAGGGCCAGGACAGGCUCCUGCCUGCAGCAGAGCCCAGCACUGGGGCAGAGCCCGGCGCUGGGGUCACUGCUGUGGAUAAAGGUUAUCAUGGGGAUUCCCGGUUGAGAGCAGCAGUAAAGAAUCUGCCUCUGUGCAGUCCUGGAUCUCCCUUCCAUCCUUCAGUCCUUGUGCUGUCCUCCUUGGAGUGUUGCCAAAUCUGGAUCCUGCUCCUGCUUUGGCUGUGGGUGGAGCUGGAGUGGCUCUUCGGUAAACAGAAUUAAAGGCAAAUGUGGGAGGUUCCUGAAGUCACCUGUGGCCUGCCUCCUCCCAUUCCUGGACCCGGGCUCCCUGCUAGACCCUUUAAAUUGCCAGCUGGUGCAGCCCUGGACACAGACUUCAUCAGCAUGGCACCAAGCGUCCUCCUGCUGGGGCUCCUCUCCCUGUGGGCACAGCUGCAGGCAGCACCCGUUGCAGAGUUCCAUGGAGUAGCUCCAGCUGGGUGGCCACCACCAGGACAUCUGGGAAGCACCCUGAGCCUUGAGCCUGGGGAAAAGCCCAGCACAGUGCCUGACAGCAAUGGUGGUGAUGGUGACAGUGACAACAACAGCUCCAAUAGCAAUGUAACGGGUGACUCCAAUAGCCAUAAAAAUGGUGAGUCCAAUAGCAGUGAAACUGGUGAUGAUGGCCACAAUGCCAAUGACCAUGAUGGUGAUGAUGGUAAUAGAAAUCAGCUUUGUGAUUGCAAUGAUCAUGAUCAUGGUGACAACCACAGUGAUGAUGGUAAUGAUGGUGUCAAGAGUGACCAUUCUAAUAGCAAGGAAGAUGGUGAUAAAAAUGACCUUUCCAAUGGCAAGGACAAUGACAAUGGUAAGGGUGACAAUGACGGUGAUGGUGAUGAUGGUGACAACGGUGACAAUUCCAAUAACGAUGAAGAUGGUGAUGAUGGUGUUAAAAAUGACCUUUCUGAUGGCAAGGACAAUGACAGUGACGAUGGUGAUGAUGACAGUGAUGAUGGUGAUGAUGGCAAUGAUGAUGGUGAUGAUGGCAAUGAUGAUGGUGAUGAUUUCAUCAGUGAUGAAAAUUCCAAUAGCAAUGAAGAUGGUGAUGAUGGCAUCAGUGAUGAAAAUUCCAAUAGCAACGAAGAUGGUGAUGAUGACAUCAACAGUGACAGUUCCAAUAGCAGUGAAGAUGGUGACUCCAAUGACAAUGAAUAUGAUUACUCCAAUAGCAAUGAAAAUGGUGCUGAUUAUGGGGGGUGGAGAUUUUAGCUUGUAAGGGUGUAAUUGCCCUGGGAUUUUCAGAGAUUUUUGGGUUCCUCUUUUGUGGCAUCCAGAUUUUGUGGCUACCAGAUUUCAUGCUUGAUCUGCGCCAAUAAAUGUAUCUAGUGAACAUGAGAGCUUAGUGUC